RNAcentral lists this ribosomal RNA (505 nucleotides) under uncultured bacterium. RNAcentral describes it as "bacterial SSU rRNA". It matches the Rfam family "Bacterial small subunit ribosomal RNA", at positions 27 to 518 of the family's 1533-position model. The record is from RNAcentral.
GGACGAACGCUGGCGGGCGUGCCUAACACAUGCAAGUCGAGCGGGACAUGCGACGGAGACGAAGUUUUCGGAUGGAGUCAAAGAUGUAUUGUUCUAGCGGCGGACGGGUGAGUAACGCGUGAGCAACCUGUCCCUUACAGGGGGAUAACACAGCGAAAGUUGUACUAAUACCGCAUAAGACCACGGUGAGACAUCUUACAGGGGUCAAAGGAGCAAUCCGGUAAGGGGUGGGCUCGCGUCCGAUUAGAUAGUUGGUGAGGUAACGGCCCACCAAGUCAACGAUCGGUAGCCGACCUGAGAGGGUGAUCGGCCACAUUGGGACUGAGACACGGCCCAAACUCCUACGGGAGGCAGCAGUGGGGAAUAUUGGGCAAUGGGGGAAACCCUGACCCAGCAACGCCGCGUGAGGGAAGAAGGUUUUCGGAUCGUAAACCUCUGUCCUUGGUGAAGAGAGAGAGACGGUAGCCAAGGAGGAAGCCCCGGCUAACUACGUGCCAGCAGCAGC